UCGCGGAGGGUGGUGGCCGUGGCAGCCGCCCCCGCCGCCCCCGCUCCCCCGCCCCUGUGAGCGCCGCUCGGAGCGGCGCCUCCGUCCUUGUGGUGCCGCAGCCACGGACGGGGAGCCUCUUGUGUGUCGGGAAAAGCGCCGCCGAGGCAGCGGUGCUUCACAGUUUGAACCCAGUGCCGUCUGAGAGUCGGUGACUGCGUUUGGCCUGGCCUCAGAAAACCGGUCGCUCCCCAGCCGCUCCCUUGCAGCAGUGAGGGGUUCGACCUGGCCUCAGGAGGGGCUUUGGUGACCCCGGUGGAGCUGCACAGGGACGUCGCUGGUGGGGCAGGUGGGAACGAUGGGCUAGAUGAAAUGUUUCUUGAUCACUGCUAAGCUGCUCGUGUCCAACAUAGCCCAGUCUAUGCCAGUAGACUUUACUCAAGGGAGAACGUGCAACCUGAUACAAAUGGGAGAGGUUGGGAGUGGAGCCACUGAGGAUUCCCUCCAUCAGUGAUUUCUAACCACUCUGCCAUGAGUAUAACAUCAGUGUUUCAGAUAUUUAUGCUUUUGUCUUCGCUACAUUUGGAAUAAGAGCAGCAUCCCUUAACUCACCAAACAGUGUGAAGUUAUUACACCAGCUUAAACUCCACACAUCAUUGGAAACUCUUGCCAAGGUUCAUAUAAAUACGUGUUUCCCCAUCCAUGUCUGUGCUGUCCCAUUGGACCAGAGCUGCAAACACAGGAAGUGCGUUGGCCGCAGCAGCUCGAGUUCCACCGCAUACACAGCAGAGCUGCCUGAUGAGCCAGUAGCCCUCAAACACAAUGAAACAUUUUUCUCACAGUUCCUCCAGGAGAGGGAGGGCUUGGGAUAUGCCUUCUGGAUGUCAUCAUGGAACAGUGACAGUCUUGAGAGCAGCACUGAAAAAAAAUAUUACCCAGCAGGUUUUGAAGGCUGCAGUUUGGUGGCAUGCCAAGAAAUCAUUGCAUCUUAAAAUUAAGGUUCAUGACCCUUGUGACCACAGCCACUGGACACAUCACCAAAUUCAACAUCCUUCUCCCCUCAAAUAUCCUGCAGGAGCCCCCACCUCUACUCCUUCUGCCCCAUGCAAUGACCUCACAGUUGUGCCUAUGAUGGUGUGUAAGUGCAGCCCUGGAGCCAAAGCCAGGGCCCAUCACCUCAACAGCCCACUGCACCAGCUUUGGGGAUAUCUCUGGGGCCACCCUAGCAUACCACAGGGGAGCAACAGGAAAAAAACCCAGGUACUUCCUGCGAUCUUCAUCCAGAUGCUUUGCACAGACAGAUGGAUGCCUUGUACCAGGUACCUGGAGCAUACCUCACAAGCUCCAGCUCUCCACUGGAGCUUGCACAGUGACAUGGAGUGCUGCAAGACUAUGUAACCCAUUUAAAACAUAGAGCACCAGAGAAAUGCAGCCCCAAAGGCAAAGUGCUGGAGAAAGGAGUGAGAGGGACCAGCUGGAGUCAUAGCAAGGAGCUUAGAAAUUGGCCUGCUUUAUUUUCAUACAACUUCUAAAUGUUCAGUUUUUUUAAAGUCUGCAUCCUAAUUUCCCUGAAAAUGGAUGUGUGCAUAUUAUGUUAGCUUUUUAAAUGAUUAAAGGUUUUUUUACAUGCAAUAAUCUGCUGAUCUCUUUUGGUUAACUAGUUA
This is a long non-coding RNA of Falco peregrinus (peregrine falcon), 1643 nucleotides long. RefSeq lists it as uncharacterized. Lineage: Eukaryota; Metazoa; Chordata; Aves; Falconiformes; Falconidae. The record is from RefSeq and is a predicted model, not a curated record. The transcript has 4 exons.